UUUUAUUCAUUUUCGUCGAUUUUGAGAGGGUUUUCGAUCAGAAAACGCCCUCGGUCGUGAGUUUGAGUCCUUCCCCUGCAGAAGGAAGAGAUUCCAACGUGAAAAUCCCCGCUGAAGAGGGACAAAAAGUGUUUUUUUUAUUCCCCAAAAUGGAAUAAGGAAUAUUCCCGUCGGUGGGAUUGGUGUGGGGUUUAUUUAAUAUUUUCCGGCCUUCAAGCGGCCAGUCUACCGUGUUUACAAGUGUCACGGGAUCACAACACCGCGGGAGAUAAGUUCAAAAUCGACCUCAUCGGGAUGCAAAUGGUCAACACGCAUUUGCAGAUACGCUGCGUUGAAUUCCUCAACGGACAGUACUCUGUCGGCCAUGUUGGAAAAUAAAUGUAUGAUCCACAAAAUCAAAACUGGGAGAUGAAUGAAACUUUGAACUUCGCAGCGAAUGUCAACCUAAGUCGGUAAUGGUCUCAAAACCCAAGAACAAAGUCACGCUGGAAAAGCAAGAAAUCGUUCUGCAAAACAAUAAAAUGAAGCCUAACACCGACCUAAAAUAUAAUGAAAACAACAAUAUACGAGAAAAAAACGCGACUAUUGCGGAAAAAGUCCUCGCCACUGUGUUUAUUCUAUCCAAAACUAACUUUUGGUGAAAGUACCCCACGCUCGGGAGGAAAAAUAUUCCUUCAGAAUAUUUUUCCGAAAAAAUUCUAUUUCAGUUGGGCGCCAAUUGUAAGUUAUCGCUUACCACCCCAGCUUUU
Molecule: long non-coding RNA, 749 nt
Organism: Wyeomyia smithii (pitcher-plant mosquito)
Lineage: Eukaryota; Metazoa; Arthropoda; Insecta; Diptera; Culicidae
Exons: 3
Source: RefSeq, a predicted model, not a curated record